UACGGGGGGGGCAAGCGUUGUUCGGAAUUACUGGGCGUAAAGGGCUCGUAGGCGGCCAACUAAGUCAGACGUGAAAUCCCUCGGCUUAACCGGGGAACUGCGUCUGAUACUGGAUGGCUCGAGUUUGGGAGAGGGAUGCGGAAUUCCAGGUGUAGCGGUGAAAUGCGUAGAUAUCUGGAGGAACACCGGUGGCGAAGGCGGCAUCCUGGACCAACACUGACGCUGAUGAGCGAAAGCCAGGGGAGCCAAACGGG
This 254-nucleotide ribosomal RNA is filed under the name uncultured bacterium. RNAcentral describes it as "partial 16S ribosomal RNA". It matches the Rfam family "Bacterial small subunit ribosomal RNA", at positions 524 to 777 of the family's 1533-position model. The record is from RNAcentral.